Molecule: transfer RNA, 74 nt
Filed under: Auraticoccus monumenti
Lineage: Bacteria; Bacillati; Actinomycetota; Actinomycetes; Propionibacteriales; Propionibacteriaceae
Also listed under: 1 other name
Description: tRNA_Gly_CCC
Rfam family: tRNA
About the family: Transfer RNA (tRNA) molecules are approximately 80 nucleotides in length. Their secondary structure includes four short double-helical elements and three loops (D, anti-codon, and T loops).
Source: RNAcentral
GCGGAUGUAGUUCAAUGGUAGAACUUCAGCUUCCCAAGCUGAUGGUGCGGGUUCGAUUCCCGUCAUCCGCUCCA